AUACUUACCUGGCAGGGGAGAUACCAUGAUCACGAAGGUGGUUUUCCCAGAGCGAGGCUUAUCCAUUGCACUCCGGAUGUGCUGACCCCUGCGAUUUCCCCAAAUGUGGGAAACUCGACUGCAUAAUUUGUGGUAGUGGGGGACUGCGUUCGCGCUUUCCCCUA
This 164-nucleotide small nuclear RNA is filed under the name Macaca mulatta (Rhesus monkey). Its description in RNAcentral is "U1 spliceosomal RNA (ENSMMUG00000054571.1)". It matches the Rfam family "U1 spliceosomal RNA". Rfam says of the family: U1 is a small nuclear RNA (snRNA) component of the spliceosome (involved in pre-mRNA splicing). The record is from Rfam by way of RNAcentral. Lineage: Eukaryota; Metazoa; Chordata; Mammalia; Primates; Cercopithecidae.